Molecule: transfer RNA, 84 nt
Filed under: Sphingomonas sp. Leaf33
Lineage: Bacteria; Pseudomonadati; Pseudomonadota; Alphaproteobacteria; Sphingomonadales; Sphingomonadaceae
Rfam family: tRNA
About the family: Transfer RNA (tRNA) molecules are approximately 80 nucleotides in length. Their secondary structure includes four short double-helical elements and three loops (D, anti-codon, and T loops). Further hydrogen bonds mediate the characteristic L-shaped molecular structure. tRNAs have two regions of fundamental functional importance: the anti-codon, which is responsible for specific mRNA codon recognition, and the 3' end, to which the tRNAs corresponding amino acid is attached (by aminoacyl-tRNA synthetases). tRNAs cope with the degeneracy of the genetic code in two manners: having more than one tRNA (with a specific anti-codon) for a particular amino acid; and 'wobble' base-pairing, i.e. permitting non-standard base-pairing at the 3rd anti-codon position.
Source: Rfam by way of RNAcentral
GCGGACGUGGCGAAAUUGGUAGACGCACGGGACUUAAAAUCCCUCGCCCGUACGGGUGUGCGGGUUCGAGUCCCGCCGUCCGCA